AGAGUUUGAUCCUGGCUCAGAAUGAACGCUGGCGGCGUGCCUAACACAUGCAAGUCGGAUGUGCCGCAAGGUGCAUGGCAGACGGGUGAGUAACGCGUAGGGAAUCUACCUCUUUGUGGGGAAUAACGCUCCGAAAGGAGUGGUAAUACCGCAUGAGACCGAGUGCUGGGAUGCAUUCGGUGAAACCUGGGGACCGCAAGGCCUGGGGCAAGGAGAGGAUCCUGCGUCUGAUUAGCUAGUUGGCGGGGUAAUGGCCCACCAAGGCGACGAUCAGUAGCCGGCCUGAGAGGGUGAUCGGCCACACUGGAACUGAGACACGGUCCAGACUCCUACGGGAGGCAGCAGUGGGGAAUUUUGCGCAAUGGACGAAAGUCUGACGCAGCAACGCCGCGUGGGUGAUGAAGGUCUUCGG
This 412-nucleotide ribosomal RNA is filed under the name uncultured bacterium. Its description in RNAcentral is "bacterial SSU rRNA". It matches the Rfam family "Bacterial small subunit ribosomal RNA", at positions 8 to 421 of the family's 1533-position model. The record is from RNAcentral.